RNAcentral lists this ribosomal RNA (234 nucleotides) under uncultured bacterium. RNAcentral describes it as "partial 16S ribosomal RNA". It matches the Rfam family "Bacterial small subunit ribosomal RNA", at positions 524 to 754 of the family's 1533-position model. The record is from RNAcentral.
UACGUAGGGUGCAAGCGUUAAUCGGAAUUACUGGGCGUAAAGCGUGCGCAGGCGGUUUUGUAAGUCAGAUGUGAAAUCCCCGGGCUUAACCUGGGAACUGCGUUUGAAACUACAAGGCUAGAGUGUGGCAGAGGGGGGUGGAAUUCCGACGUGUAGCAGUGAAAUGCGUAGAGGAUGUGGAGGAACACCGAUGGCGAAGGCAGCCCCCUGGGCCAACACUGACGCCUCAUGCAC